UCCAAAUGUAUUUGCAGAGAUUCAGCUGUGGGGAAGCUGCAGAGAAGGCUGCCUGGCACAGCCCCCCAGAAUGGGCCUCCCCCGACUGGGCUCCCGCAGAGGAUGGGGCAGUUGCAGCCCCCUGUCAUUCCUGUGAGAUUUGAGAUCUGUGCUGAGGGUUGGCAGCUCCUGCUGGGGCAAGAGCUGCAUCUUCCAAGAGGCAAAGCUGCAGCAUCUUCCUCCCCAGGGACUGUCUCCAUGCAGGAAGCAGCACAGGGGACUGGCCGAAGGGCUCGGGCUGGGACACGGCCCCAACAGGAGCAGCCCUGGCACACUGACACGGGAGGAUGAGCCCAGGUGAGGAGCACGGGCCCAGCGUGGCACCAAGACAGGCAUCUCCUGUGGGUUAUGUGGGGCUGUGCUGUGCACCCUGGGGGUGCUGACUGACCCCCUUUGUGCCGAGACAGAGGAGAUGCUGCUGCACCACGUCCCCAGGAGAGCCCCUGCCUCCUUCUGCUCUCAGGGAUGGGACUGGGAGACGCCUCCACGCCGAGAGUGGCACUUGGCAUGGCUUCAGUCCCCAGUGGAAGAGGCUGGGCUCCCCGCUGCCCAGAGCUCCUGGUUAGGGACACCCACGCCUGCGCCUGGCUCAGAGUCCAGGGUGCACUCAGUCCGGAUCCAGCCUCGAGAUGUUCCUGCUGCAGCUGCAGGUGUUUCCCAGUCCAGCUUGCUGAACCUCCAGCUCUGACUGUUCUUCCUUCCAGCUCUGGCUCUGAGAUGCUGCACUUGAUGGCUGCUCCAGUUCCUUCCAGCUCUGGGUUGGUUUUUUCAAGCGCCACUACAAGGAGAUGCUGGAGGGCACCAAGACCCCCGGGGUGCCCCAGGACUGAGUGAGAGGAGCCCAAAAAUUUUGGGCACCCCAUCCCCCCAAAAUAUUAAAUUCACAUGGAAGCUUCCCCUGUAUUUGUGUGGAGUUUUUUGAAAUUAUUUUGGAAUUUUUUAGGGGGGGUUUUGGGAAACUGGGGAGGAGGAAACACUAAAAAAUAAAAAAAUAAAUUUAAAAAGGAUU
Oenanthe melanoleuca is the source of this 1048-nucleotide long non-coding RNA. RefSeq lists it as uncharacterized. The transcript has 4 exons. The record is from RefSeq and is a predicted model, not a curated record. NCBI's taxonomy places the organism in Eukaryota, Metazoa, Chordata, Aves, Passeriformes, Muscicapidae.